UUGACCUCGAAUCAGGUAGGACUACCCGCUGAACUUAAGCAUAUCAUAA
RNAcentral lists this ribosomal RNA (49 nucleotides) under Beauveria bassiana. Its description in RNAcentral is "partial 28S ribosomal RNA". The record is from RNAcentral. RNAcentral also lists the same sequence under 1 other name. Lineage: Eukaryota; Fungi; Ascomycota; Sordariomycetes; Hypocreales; Cordycipitaceae.